GGGGCUAGAGCUCAGUGGUAGAGCCCAUGCUUGGCAUGCAUGAGGUCCUGGAUUCAAUCUCCAGUGCCCCA
RNAcentral lists this transfer RNA (71 nucleotides) under Camelus dromedarius (Arabian camel). It matches the Rfam family "tRNA". Rfam says of the family: Transfer RNA (tRNA) molecules are approximately 80 nucleotides in length. Their secondary structure includes four short double-helical elements and three loops (D, anti-codon, and T loops). Further hydrogen bonds mediate the characteristic L-shaped molecular structure. tRNAs have two regions of fundamental functional importance: the anti-codon, which is responsible for specific mRNA codon recognition, and the 3' end, to which the tRNAs corresponding amino acid is attached (by aminoacyl-tRNA synthetases). tRNAs cope with the degeneracy of the genetic code in two manners: having more than one tRNA (with a specific anti-codon) for a particular amino acid; and 'wobble' base-pairing, i.e. permitting non-standard base-pairing at the 3rd anti-codon position. The record is from Rfam by way of RNAcentral. RNAcentral also lists the same sequence under 1 other name. Lineage: Eukaryota; Metazoa; Chordata; Mammalia; Artiodactyla; Camelidae.